GGAAAGAGGGGGGGAGGGGCGGCGGUAAGAUGUGCGGUGAAAGGGUUAUUCGGAAUUACGGGGCUGAAAGGGUACGGAGGCGGCGCGGGGAGGCGGGGGUGAAAUCCCAGGGCUCAACCGGGGAACUGCGCCCGAUACUGUAGUGCUUGAGGGAGACAGAGGUAAGCGGAACUGAUGGGGGAGCGGUGAAAUGCGUUGAUAUCAUCAGGAACACCGGUGGCGAAAGCGGCUUACUGGGUCUCUUCUGACGCUGAGGUACGAAAGCCAGGGUAGCGAAGGGGAUUAGAUGCCCUGGUAGUC
This 300-nucleotide ribosomal RNA is filed under the name uncultured Pyrodictium sp. RNAcentral describes it as "partial 16S ribosomal RNA". The stretch from base 52 to 300 matches the Rfam family "Bacterial small subunit ribosomal RNA", at positions 547 to 795 of the family's 1533-position model. Lineage: Archaea; Thermoproteati; Thermoproteota; Thermoprotei; Desulfurococcales; Pyrodictiaceae. The record is from RNAcentral.